GAAUUCGCCCUUAGAGUUUGAUCCUGGCUCAGGAUGAACGCUGGCGGCGUGCCUAACACAUGCAAGUCGAACGGAGUUCUUAAGGAAUGCGACUUCGGUCAAAUGACUUUUGAACUUAGUGGCGGACGGGUGAGUAACGCGUGAGCAACCUGCCUUUCAGAGGGGGAUAACAUUUGGAAACAGAUGCUAAUACCGCAUAAGAUUACAGUACCGCAUGAUACAGUGAUCAAAGGAGCAAUCCGCUGAAAGAUGGGCUCGCGUCCGAUUAGAUAGUUGGUGAGGUAACGGCUCACCAAGUCGACGAUCGGUAGCCGGACUGAGAGGUUGAACGGCCACAUUGGGACUGAGACACGGCCCAGACUCCUACGGGAGGCAGCAGUGGGGAAUAUUGCACAAUGGGCGAAAGCCUGAUGCAGCAACGCCGCGUGAGGGAAGACGGUUUUCGGAUUGUAAACCUCUGUUUUCGGUGACGAAUAAAUGACGGUAACCGAGUAGGAAGCCACGGCUAACUACGUGCCAGCAGCCGCGGUAAUACGUAGGUGGCAAGCGUUAUCCGGAAUUACUGGGUGUAAAGGGAGCGCAGGCGGGAUAGCAAGUCAGUUGUGAAAACUAUGGGCUCAACCCAUAGAUUGCAGUUGAAACUGUUAUUCUUGAGUGGAGUAGAGGCAAGCGGAAUUCCGAGUGUAGCGGUGAAAUGCGUAGAUAUUCGGAGGAACACCAGUGGCGAAGGCGGCUUGCUGGGCUCUAACUGACGCUGAGGCUCGAAAGUGUGGGGAGCAAACAGGAUUAGAUACCCUGGUAGUCCACACUGUAAACGAUG
Molecule: ribosomal RNA, 820 nt
Filed under: uncultured bacterium
Lineage: Bacteria
Description: bacterial SSU rRNA
Rfam family: Bacterial small subunit ribosomal RNA
Source: RNAcentral